Helianthus annuus (common sunflower) is the source of this 2075-nucleotide long non-coding RNA. RefSeq lists it as uncharacterized. The transcript has 6 exons. NCBI's taxonomy places the organism in Eukaryota, Viridiplantae, Streptophyta, Magnoliopsida, Asterales, Asteraceae. The record is from RefSeq and is a predicted model, not a curated record.
GUUGAAAUAUUAGCAAGUAACAAAGUAACAAUGAUUUUAGUUCCCUCCCAAACCCUCUGGAUUUCUUCCGCCUAAACCUAUCCCCAAAUUUAAAACUUGCAACACCAAAUUUCUUUUCCACCCUAAUUUUGUAGUGCCUCCAGGUUUCUACAAAAAAUAACAAUAUCAUAUUAAAGCCAAACCUUUUCUAUGCCAUAACCCAUUACAAGCUUUUCAUCACACAUCGAUGAUGAAGACGGCGAUCGUUGACGGAAACUAUUUAGAGGUCAAAUACACAGUUGAUUUAGAGAUCUAUGAUGGAUGUAAACGACAAGUUGAUUCAGAAAUCGUAAGUGCGUCUUUUUCUGAAGGUUAUCUCGGAUUGCUUUCUAAUCAAGUAUGGUAUGUCAAUUUCCGGGUUUUGACUACUUGUUAUGUUUAGAUCGGUUGGUGUCAUUGUCAAUAUGUUUACAUUAAGGCCAGUUUUUCAACUCUUUAUUGGUACCUUGCAGUUAGGAGGGCAAAAACUUAAUUUUGUAAUGGAAUUAGGAAUUUCGAUUGAUUUUUAAGCAACUGAUAUAGAAACUGAUGAUUAUUUGAUUGAGUUACAUAUUAUUCACAUCACUUUUGCAACUAACUUUAUAUUAUUUGGGCAAAAUGGAUUCUUUAAUGACAUAAGCUUAGUGUAUGCCAUGUGUUUGAUGUUUUGCCAAAUGAAAACUGAUGAUUCAACAUGAUCAUACCAAUUUGACAUAUAAUAUUCACCAGUACCACUAGUUUAUAAAAAAAACGAUCUGAGUCUAGAGAAUACCGAAAAUCGAAUAUGGGUAGUUUACUCAUACUAAAGAGCAAGAUAAAUAUAAUUUGGAACAGUUAGGCUUCUUACUAUAAUUAUGUGGAUUUAAUUAUCUUUUUUCUUGUCAACUGUUAUCGUAAAACAUAGAUUCCAUAUAGUAAAGAGCUGCAUUAUAAGCUAUUUUCUAAAUCCAAAGCCACACAUUUAGUUUCUAAACUUCUAGUUUAAUUUAUAUCAAACAUUUGGUGAAGCAUUCUCCAUGUCAUAUGCUUAUGCUUCUACUAAGGUUGCUGUUACAGAGGUAACUAGGAAGGGAUGCCAGCAUGGGGACGUACACACUUAUUCUCGGAUGUGACUGGUCUUACAAAAUGCUUAUUUUUGGAAUUAAAAACAAAGAGAAAGAAGAGCGAGGUUGUAAAGACUCAGACAACGUUAGGGAAAGCCCUGGUGCAUUCGAUAGUUUGUACAGCGAACUACCAGAAAUCUUGUUUAUUCAAAGAUGUGAACUUCUAUGUCCUGAUAGACAAGGUGCUCCUACGGUUAGGGGUAUAGGCUGUGUUUAUCCUACUACUGAGAGGAUUAUGCAUAAUUGCCUGAUGAUAGAUGGUUUUGUCAAAGUUCAAGUAGAUAGAGUUGAAGAAGGUUGCGGAUUGAAUUGUCUCUUGCCUGAUUCAUGUAGUAGACUGUUUGGAAGAUGCAAAAGAAUGCUUUAUUUACUGGUCUGUUAAAUCAAUAAAGAGUUUAAACAAAGAUUCUCCUCAAAGUGUAGAACCAUCUCACCAUUCUAUGGAUGAAAGAAUCGGGUAUCAAAUAUACUCGUAUGCAUUACAAGAGGAGGAGGCUUUUAAUUGAUUGGUAAACACAUUAUUUGUAUAUAAUUAUGUGUGUUUACUAAUAGUGUCGUUAUUGGUUAAUGUAGCUCGCUGAUAAACAAUUUUCUCAGAAUACAACCAAGCAUGUUCCUUUUGCUGGAAAAUAAAACCUCAAUGGUUCGUCAAAGUGAAAUUGACGAGUUUGUAGAGUGUACUUUAAAGGCGUCUAUUUCAGUUUUGGUGGCGGGAAGGACGACAAGGAUGAAUGGAGUGGCAAAGGAAUUUAAGUCAGUGAGUGCUGUUGAGAGCUUUGUGGUUAUUGGGGUGGAUAAAGGAGGUUGCACAAAGUCAAGGAGUUUUUUGGAUGGUUGAUUUUAUUUGUGCUAAACUGAAUGAUAGGAUGUUUUUUCUAUGUUAAAUUGAAUGUUUUAGACUAAUGGGUUAACAUGGAUGCUUUAGCUAUUUAUAACAUGGUUCAUUGUUUGUUA